This 237-nucleotide ribosomal RNA is filed under the name uncultured archaeon. RNAcentral describes it as "partial 16S ribosomal RNA". It matches the Rfam family "Archaeal small subunit ribosomal RNA", at positions 763 to 999 of the family's 1478-position model. The record is from RNAcentral.
CGCGUUAGGUGUAUCGGUGACCACGAGUCACCGAGGUGCCGAAGGGAAACCGUGAAACGUGCCGCCUGGGAAGUACGGUCGCAAGGCUGAAACUUAAAGGAAUUGGCGGGGGAGCACCACAACAGGUGGAGCCUGCGGUUUAAUCGGACUCAACGCCGGGAAGCUCACCGGAUAAGACAGCUGAAUGAUAGCCGGGUUGAAGACUCUGCUUGACUAGCUGAGAGGAGGUGCAUGGCA